UUCAUUUUCUCUCCACUAGCUUUCUCUUUUCUUUCUUCUCCAUUUCCUUAUUUUUUUCUCUUGAAAAAGAGUUCUUGCACAACCUUGAGAGUUGCCGUAUUCAGCUUUAUUGAGGGUAAAUUGGCUUAUUUGUGACGACAAGACAAGAAGAGUAAAGGAAUGAGCGAUCAAUUUAUGCCUUGGGAGCAUCCAGAAUCAACUAGAGUUUCUUCUUCCCUUUUUAAUCUUUUGUUUUGUUCAAUUCAUAAAUAUGAG
Molecule: long non-coding RNA, 255 nt
Filed under: Gossypium barbadense (sea-island cotton)
Lineage: Eukaryota; Viridiplantae; Streptophyta; Magnoliopsida; Malvales; Malvaceae
Description: long non-coding RNA (GBAR_LNC022340)
Source: RNAcentral